RNAcentral lists this unclassified non-coding RNA (1320 nucleotides) under Hevea brasiliensis (rubber tree). Lineage: Eukaryota; Viridiplantae; Streptophyta; Magnoliopsida; Malpighiales; Euphorbiaceae. The record is from RNAcentral.
AUAAAUUUGUCUUCCCAAUUUACCGUGUUGUGCUAUGUUUACAAUGAAGUGUGGCCAAUUGGAAAAGAAAAGAAAGGAUAAAAGUUGCUUGAAUAGCUGUCACAAAUUUGUCUUCAUAAUUUCCUUAUCAAUCUUUGCUUUUGAGAUUUUUAAGUGAUGCAGCCCCCUAAAUAUUCACAAUUUAAAUGCUCCAGAAGUAUUAAUGCAAUUUCCUGAUUUUUUGGAAAUAGGAAUUAAGAGUCAAUGUUUCUAUUUUUACUUUUUUUUCUUUUCAGUCUUUAAUAUGUAAUAUAUCCUAGUCUAAUUAGUAAAUUUUGUGUACAAUUUCUUGACUAAAUAAGAAUUCCCAAGCAUGAAGCACAAAAUUUAUAUUUUCCUUCAAUUCCACAAUUAAAUUUCAAUAUAAUGUUAUCAUCUGAAUUCCAUUCUAUCAAACCCUAUUCAGACAACAUCGAUUUCUUAAAAUUUUCUCCAAAACAUUGCUCAUGCAAACUCCAGUGACAAAGCUGCACUCCAAAUAGCCCUUCAAGCAUGUCCUUUGAGCAAUUUUUCUUCCUAUGGUACUUUUUUAUUGGUUGUUCAUAUUCCAACGUUCAAAUCAACCCACAACCAGUCAUUAAUAGACUAACCUGCCAGGCUUCCCGGAGUAUCUAUUGCCACCAGUGUUGUUAAGGGCAUUGAGCAAGGCACCAGACAAGGUAAGGUGAGGCGAGGCGAGGCGAGGCGAGCCCUUGGUGCCUCACCUAGCUGAGGCGAGGCAAGUGAUAACAGGUGAGUGCCCGAGUCCAUGGAGGCAAGAGGCAAUGGGCCAGUGAGGCGACGCCUCUUCAAAAUAACACACUUUCUCCCUUUUUUUUUAAAUUUUUUUGUAAUAGUAUAAAACAAAAGAAAACCCUAAAAAUAGCUCCACUUCACGCCAACAACAAGAACAGAAUGCAAAUAGAACACAAAGCAGACGAGAAACAAAGCAACCGGGAAUUUCUUCCUUCCUUUCUCUCUCUCUCUCGUCUUCACAUUCUUUCAUCUCUCUCCUCUACUCUUCUUCUAUUUUCUUCUCCUUAGUCUCUCAUCUGUGCAACCUUACAGUACCUCCAGCACCAGCAAUUCAGCGUUUUUUUUUCUUCUUUUCUCUACUCCUUCCCUUCUUCUCUAAAUUAGAUCCAGCACUUGCUAUUUUCUUCUCCUCUUAAGUCUCUCCCCUGGGAACCAGUAGUUCCUUUAUUUAUUUAUUUAUUUUUGGUUUCUUCUUUAUUUUUUUCAGUUAAAUUUGUUAAAUGGGUAGUGUGAUAUUCUUUUUUAUUAAAUGGAUAUUGUUGUGAU